AUGAAAGCUUUAUUCUGGAAUAUUAGAGGUUUCGGUGCUAGGGGGCGCAGGGACCAGCUUAAAGAUUUAGUUCGUGCUGAAAAUAUUGAUUUCAUUGGUCUUGUCGAAACUCUCAAACCUUCCUUUUCCCCUAAUGAACUAUCGGCCGUUACUGGGAUAGACAGAUUCAAUUGGAAUUUUGUUGCUUCUGAUGGUCACUCAGGUGGUAUUUUGCUUGGCUUCAAAAAAGAUGUCUUCGAUUUUGUUGCCUUUGACCAUGGCAUUUUUUGGGCUAGCACGGUGGUUUCUCAUCGAUCCCUUAACUCCUUACUUGAAAUUAUGGUGGUUUAUAGCCCGGCUGAUCACUCUAUGUCUUACAACUUCUUGGACGAACUGCACAAUAAGAUCGACUCUUGUCAGGUGCCUCUGCUAAUCGGGGGAGAUUUUAAUUUGCUUCGAUACCCUUCGGAUAAGAGUUCUUCUAAUUUCUCUUGGCCUCUGGCCGAUGCUUUUAACGCUUUCAUAAGGGACACGGCGAUCCGUGAAGUCCCUAGGGUUGGGGCCCGUUUCACCUGGACGAAUCGCAUAUCCUCUCCCAUCCGUUCUGUCCUCGAUAGGGUUUUCCUAUGUCCUAGCUAG
Molecule: ribosomal RNA, 618 nt
Filed under: Triticum aestivum (bread wheat)
Lineage: Eukaryota; Viridiplantae; Streptophyta; Magnoliopsida; Poales; Poaceae
Description: partial small subunit ribosomal RNA
Source: RNAcentral